ACCUUUAAAUGCUGCAUUAAUUACUGUGCAUGUCAGAGAGAGAGAGAGAGAGGGGAAUACGGACAGUCAAAACGCCGGAACAGCCAAGAGCCACCACUAGCCACCACUCAGCCCCUUUCCUCCUCCGAGAACCACCAUCGGCCGAGCCCAGCCAUCGGCCGAGCCAACACAGCCACCGAAAACCGCCAUCGGCCGAGCCAACACAGCCACCGUGAACCACCAACACCGCAAACACAGUAACCCACUCACUCACGCGGCCUAAAACCUACAUCAAAACCACCACCAACGGCCAAGCCCACACCAAACACCACCAACCACAAGCACUACGUCAAACACCCACACCCACACAACCCAAGCCGUAACCGUUUUCUGAAGCUUAAACGAUAACAUAAGGACAAAGGUAGUUCACCUUUUUUCUAAGAUUCAAGGCUAGAUCUAGGCUUUAUCAGUGUUGGUUUUCAAAAAAUAACGGUGGAUUUGAGAACUAGGGGAAAAAAGGAAUUCAAAACAUGUAGUUUUUUUAAAAAAAGGAGGAGUUUCUUUUUCCGACGCGGCGGCGCCGCCACCCAUGGCCGGCCAGCCACUGCGCCGGUAAACAGCUUCCGGCGGUGUGUGGUUAGAGAGAGAAGAGAGCUUCUGAGCGUUUCUUUAGAGAGAGGAAGAAGUUGGAUUUAUGUUAUUUUAGGGUUUAUUUUCUAAUUUAUACUGCUGCCAUGACCAAUACUAUGGUGCACGCGGAUCUCUGUGUCCCCAUGGACCAUCAGGGUUGAACCGUUAGAUCCUAGAUCUAACGGCCAAUGUUAUCCCCUGUUUUGAUCAGAUGCGUCUCACCUCUUGGUUUUUACUUUGUUCUUCUUCUCUUGUGACGUCUGAUUAAGAUCUAAUGGCUAAGACUGUGUCUCCCCAUGAUCAAAUCUGGACGCUUCGAUCAAUCUGACGAUUCAGAUUUGAUCUGUUAAGCCCACUUUUUAUUUUGAGCCCAUUUCCUUUUUUCUGUUCCUUCUAGUAUUUUACUUUCUGCACCCCCUUUUCUUCUCUAUUCUUUUUUUUUAUUACUUUUUUAUGCAUCAUAUUUACUUUAUGCCCUUGCAUUUUUUUUAUUUUCUUUAUUUAUUUUCCAGCACCAUAUCUAUUUUACGUCUUGCAUUUUAUUUUCCAGUAUCAUAUUUA
RNAcentral lists this long non-coding RNA (1170 nucleotides) under Glycine max (soybean). Its description in RNAcentral is "long non-coding RNA (GMAX_LNC001840)". Lineage: Eukaryota; Viridiplantae; Streptophyta; Magnoliopsida; Fabales; Fabaceae. The record is from RNAcentral.